AAUCUUGUUGUUGUUGUUGUUGUUGUUUACUGCAAUCAUAUUAACCAACUAAAGUGUUUAAAGAAACAGGAGAUUUCACUUUGUGAUUUAGUUCCUACAGAUACCGACAAUGGCUUGUUUCACCCUAUGGAGGUCGCUUUCCUUCCAGCGACUUCUUCUGGGACAACUUAUACUUUGCUUACCCUCCCAUCCACAAAGCCGGUCUUCACAUUCAAUUUCAGCUCAACCGUCUUGGAGGGGAGAUGAGUGGACAAGUACAACCCAAUCAAUCGUCUACUUCACAACAGUGGCCAACAGCUGCAGAGGACAGGGUCUAUAUUGGCAACCGCAUGUGUUUUGUAUGCGUCGGGUGUGGUAGAGGGCUCAGUGAAGGGGUCGAGAGGUAGACACUGACAGUUCAAGAUGGAGAAGUGAUAGUAUUAAAAAUGUCAUUGUUCUGAUUUAUUUUAUGUAAUAUUUACUUUGUCUAUUCCAAUAUUUCAGUAAUGCUCAAAGACAGCAGGCAAGGAUAGUGAGAACAUCCACUGAAAUAAUAUUUAAAAUUUCUGUAGCCAUACUAUUUGUUCAUCAUGAUAUUAUUGAUAAUGUGUGCUGUAAUUACAGAUGCUAAUAUUAGUUGAAAGGAUUGAUGUGGCUGAGGUAAAAGGGAGUCGUGAAGAUUCUGAUGGUGUUAGUCGGCUGUGUUGUCAGCUUGACCCACUCAAGAACUGAUUCUAUGGACUCUCAAGGACAUUGGUAAUAUCAGUACAUAAAGGUUGCCAAGAUCAAAAGGAAGUUUGGGAACGAAGAAGACAAGUCUAACUGAUCUUAAGAAGAGAUAUUCUACAAUCAACAUUGAUCAAGCCACGUUAACAAGUUGAUUCCUAAUCACAGCCGCUGUAUCAAUCUAAUUAAAUUGCACUGAGCUUUA
Callorhinchus milii (elephant shark) is the source of this 910-nucleotide long non-coding RNA. RefSeq lists it as uncharacterized. The record is from RefSeq and is a predicted model, not a curated record. The transcript has 2 exons. NCBI's taxonomy places the organism in Eukaryota, Metazoa, Chordata, Chondrichthyes, Chimaeriformes, Callorhinchidae.